Molecule: long non-coding RNA, 1439 nt
Organism: Lolium rigidum
Lineage: Eukaryota; Viridiplantae; Streptophyta; Magnoliopsida; Poales; Poaceae
Exons: 3
Source: RefSeq, a predicted model, not a curated record
GGACUCCUCCGCGCGGACGCCAACCUGUAGCGGCGGCGACCACCGCUGCAUCCCAUGCGCCCUCGUCCGCCCCCACGGCCGGUUAAUAUGACUCCGGUCAGCCGCCGCAAUCCAGCAUCUUCUCCAUGAUUUGGAUCCGAUUCAGAUAUGGAUUAUGCUAGUCGUUACCAUGGGUGGGAUGCGGAGCUGGGCCAGCAGCACAGCUCGUGGCCCAUCAUGGCCCAAGGGGCACGAAACAACCGGGGAAGCUAACAGAAAGUCAUCCGAUUCCUAAAAGAACUAAACGAACCGGUGAACAGCAGCACAAUUGGAUUCCAGUUUACAGUUCACAUCAUGAUUUAUUGUUCUUGACUUGUCCAUCAACUGGAUUAUUUAGAAGCUCAUAGUUCAUCAGGUACAACGUGUAAUAUAUAGUCUUAUUUAUUCUGAAUUACACCCGGUCUUUUCAACUAUUGUACUGUGAGCAUUAUGGCUCUGUUUCCGUGGUAGCAAGUGCAUCUUUUUCUCUUGGCAUAUGUUUGGAUGAUUCAUGGAUUUAAUUAAUCGUUGCAUGGCCUAUAGAAGUAACUUCUUUCUACUACAAAUUUUAGCCGGUGUAACUGAUGCAUCUAUGCUAAUAAUCUGACCAUCAGAAAACAAGCUACACAAAAUGAAUCUGAUUCUAAAAUAGAGGAAAACACUUAUCAUAAAACUCUCAAUACAUGAAUCUGUUUGUAACAAACUAAAAAAAGGAAAUAAAGAUAACUUAUUUGAAAAUUAAGAACAAUAAUACAAGUCAUGGUCCGUAGAACUUCGCCCAUUCGGGAUGGUUUCGAAGGGCUGCCCAUAUGUGAAGUAGUGUGAAAGGUUGACCUGUCAUUUGUUUAUGGAGUUUCAUAAUGUUUUCAACCAAGUCUUCAUCAGCAUGGCCACUACUGUACCGAUUGUUGUAAGCACACCACAUUCUAUUGAAUCCCCUAAUUUUGACAUUCAUCUUAUGCCAUUUGUCCUUGCAUUAUUUUGCCUUUCUCAUCCUAUCAUUGGGAGUGGUUGCAUUGUACUCUUCCGUGAUUUGAUCCUAAAAGAUUUGAGCACUAACCAAGUUUCUAUUGGCAUGCUUCAUGGAAUUAUUUAACCAAAUGUUUGCCUACAUAGAAAAAAACUUGAUCAUUUGGAAGCACUGUACUAUUGCAUGAUUCAUAUAUAGCAUUACCAAAUAAUAAUCAAUAAAUUUAAAGGCGUUGUAAGGAAGAUCUUACCAGCCGUUGAUGUUCGUCUUCUGUCCACAGCAUGCGCAUGUUUACAUUGCCCGGUCCGUCUUUGUAUGUGUGUGCAAGUGCAAGGUCUAACAAAAUACUGAUAUUUGUGUUUGCGCUGGAGCAAGUUUGGUGUAGAGAAAUGAGAUGGUGCAUGGAUAUUUAUAUUAACAUGGGAGAUCUAGUGGGUGCAUGCAACUUCUA